CUUUACUGUAACCUGGAAUUGGGUUCGGGCUUUGCUUGCGCAGGAUAGGUGGGAGGCGUUGAGAUAUUCCUUCCGGGGAAGUUGGAGCCAUCAGUGAGAGACCACUCUGGAGAGGCUAGAAUCCUAAUGGUGAUCCUUUGAUCAGGACACUUGACGUUUUCAGGUGGGCAGUUUGUUUGGGGCGAACACCUCAUAAAAGGUAACUGAGGUGCGCAAAGGUUCCCUCGGUCUGGACGGAAAUCAGACUAAAGAGUGUAAAGGCAAAAGGGAGCUUGACUGUAAGACCUACAAGUCGAACAGGGGCGAAAGCCGGCCUUAGUGAUCCGACGGUUCCAUGUGGAAGGGCCGUCGCUCAACGGAUAAAAGUUA
This 369-nucleotide ribosomal RNA is filed under the name uncultured organism. RNAcentral describes it as "bacterial LSU rRNA". It matches the Rfam family "Bacterial large subunit ribosomal RNA", at positions 2099 to 2465 of the family's 2925-position model. The record is from RNAcentral.